Pelobates cultripes (western spadefoot toad) is the source of this 332-nucleotide non-coding RNA. The record is from the annotation of a GenBank genome assembly. NCBI's taxonomy places the organism in Eukaryota, Metazoa, Chordata, Amphibia, Anura, Pelobatidae.
UUUGCAUUUUUAUCUGGGACCAUAUGUGUAUGGGGUAGAUGCUUGAAGUGUCUUAUGUGUAUGGUGGGUCUCCCUUUGGCCUUUUUGCAUUGUGUUUUAGCAAAGCUAUGUUUCCUGAUUGUGUGUGUGUAUGAUGAAUGCCUUCAGCUGAUGACUGUGACAAGGUGAGUAAAGGGGUACUAGUGGCAGGGAGAGUGUGACAGGGCAAAGGGGGUAAAUGGACAGGGUGGGGGGUUGUGAGAGGGAAUGAGGGAGAGGGAGUAUGACAUGGUUUGGUGAGGAAGUGUGACACGGCGAGUGGAGGUAAGUGUGUCAGGGCAAUUGUGGCAUGA